RNAcentral lists this ribosomal RNA (500 nucleotides) under uncultured bacterium. RNAcentral describes it as "partial 16S ribosomal RNA". It matches the Rfam family "Bacterial small subunit ribosomal RNA", at positions 30 to 523 of the family's 1533-position model. The record is from RNAcentral.
AUUGAACGCUGGCGGAAUGCUUUACACAUGCAAGUCGAACGGCAGCACGGACUUCGGUCUGGUGGCGAGUGGCGAACGGGUGAGUAAUGUAUCGGAACGUGCCCAGUCGUGGGGGAUAACGUAGUGAAAAUUACGCUAAUACCGCAUACGAUCGAUGGAUGAAAGCGGGGGAUCGCAAGACCUCGCGCGAUUGGAGAGGCCGAUAUCAGAGUAGGUAGUUGGUGGGGUAAAGGCCCACCAAGCCAACGAUCUGUAGCUGGUCUGAGAGGACGACCAGCCACACUGGAACUGAGACACGGUCCAGACUCCUACGGGAGGCAGCAGUGGGGAAUUUUGGACAAUGGGCGAAAGCCUGAUCCAGCCAUUCCGCGUGCAGGAUGAAGGCCCUCGGGUUGUAAACUGCUUUUGUACAGAACGAAAAGGUUUCUACUAAUACUAGGAGCUCAUGACUGUACCACCAGAAGAAGCCCCGGCUAACUCCGUGCCAGCCGCCGCCGUAA